Long non-coding RNA from Homalodisca vitripennis (glassy-winged sharpshooter), 333 nucleotides. RefSeq lists it as uncharacterized. The transcript is spliced from 3 exons. Lineage: Eukaryota; Metazoa; Arthropoda; Insecta; Hemiptera; Cicadellidae. The record is from RefSeq and is a predicted model, not a curated record.
UGUUUUCAUUUAAUUUUAAGGGGUUAUUUUCUUUGUUUAUUUUCAUUGUAAUGCAUUUCCAAAAUCAAAAAUUAAAAUUAAACCUAAACUGGCAGAGCUGCUUAUAAAAAUUUGCAAAGUCGAAGGCGGAAAAUCAAGGAAGCAAAACAAGCCGGGGUCAGAGACGACCGGGUUAGGCCUACUCUCUACUCAGCUAUCCAGCACACAGCCCACAAUAGUUACGGCUGCCAAGUAAACUCUUAGGAGACUACUGUAGAUUUUUACGACAGUACAGUAGGAUUCUUUCAACCAGUGAAACCUCUGCGAUAAGUAACUUGAAAAUGCACCUUUGUU